GGUGAUAAUGGGAGAAAAUGUCCUACCCUGUUCUGGACCUGGCUAGUUCAAAGCAGGACCACAGGGAUGAGACUGUACCUGGCUGUUUUAAGAGUUUCUUCAUUUGGGAAGCAGCGUGAUGAAAAUUCAUCAUCAUAAUGAAGAGGAGGCGGCAGCAGCAGUGAACAUAGAAAUCAUGGAGGGAAGUCCUCUUGUUUUCAGGCUUCCGCAGGUCAGCCUAGAUCGUGUGGGAGACAGAACGGGACGUCAUUACCAGUGCGAGUCUGGAAAGGAAGGGGGAGGUGCCGCUCCACACACACAGAAGCCUGCUCCUCAGAAGUCACAAUCCAAAACUGUGCCAUGACUGUUUUGCUUUAUUUAAAGAAUAAAAGGAAGUUUCUACUUGGGUCCGUUGUCCUAUCUGGAAAUAACCACAUUAGAAAAGUACCACAUCAAGAAAUGGAGAGUAAGAGAAACAGUGGAGACAGAUUCCACCCAGUGGACUUGAAAGAGCACCAACUGUGGGCUUGGCAGUCACAGAGGUGACUAGGACAGGUGCCUCCCUACCCUGUGGAGCCUACCUCCAGGGUGGGAUCCAGACAGUAAGCAAGCAAUGCAUCCGACAGAGCAAUGGUUCCCAAACUGAGUGAGCGGCAGAAUCAUCUGGGGAGCUUGUUACAGCACAGAUUUCAGGGCCCAACCCCAGCGUGUCUGAUGCAGGAGGUACGAGUGGGUCCUGAGAAUCUGCAUUUCUAACAAAUGCCCAGGUUGUGCUAAUGCUGCCCGAGGACCAGACUUUGAGAACCAUUGCAUUAUAGCGUAAUUAGUGUCUUGCAGGUGAACGUAUAGGGUGUGAUGGGAGCAUGUAAAGAGGCAUCCUACCCAGGCUCGGUCAAGGAAAGCUUAAGUGGGCAUAAGCCAGGUGUGUUGUGUUCCAGGCAGAGAGAAAAGCACAUGCAAAAGAAUAACUGGAGCACUGAUGGGAGGCUAAAAUCAGUUCAGUGUGGCUAUAAUUCAGAGACCAUCAGGGGCCAUGGUGAGAACAAUGUUAAGGAAACAGUAUCUUCUUUGGAUUUACCCAAGUAUCUAGUGGAAGCACAUUGUAAAACUAGGAAAAAUAAAUGUCCAUUUCUGUGUAAGCACAGAGGUUUCUUUGCAAAUAAAUAAAUAAAUGAAUGAA
Molecule: long non-coding RNA, 1159 nt
Organism: Ailuropoda melanoleuca (giant panda)
Lineage: Eukaryota; Metazoa; Chordata; Mammalia; Carnivora; Ursidae
Exons: 3
Source: RefSeq, a predicted model, not a curated record